This 275-nucleotide ribosomal RNA is filed under the name uncultured bacterium. RNAcentral describes it as "partial 16S ribosomal RNA". It matches the Rfam family "Bacterial small subunit ribosomal RNA", at positions 338 to 608 of the family's 1533-position model. The record is from RNAcentral.
CCUACGGGGGGCAGCAGUAGGGAAUAUUGGGCAAUGGGGGCAACCCUGACCCAGCCAUGCCGCGUGAAGGACGACUGCGCUCUGCGUUGUAAACUUCUUUUAUCACAGAGUAAGCCAAUGUAUAGGAUAUGUUGGUUGCAAGUAUGUGAGGAAUCAGCCACGGCUAACUACGUGCCAGCAGCCGCGGUAAUACGUAGGUGGCAAGCGUUGUCCGGAUUUACUGGGUUUAAAGGGUGCGUAGGCUGUUAAAUAAGUCAGAAGUGAAAUCCUGUCGC